Molecule: long non-coding RNA, 301 nt
Filed under: Citrus maxima (pomelo)
Lineage: Eukaryota; Viridiplantae; Streptophyta; Magnoliopsida; Sapindales; Rutaceae
Description: long non-coding RNA (CMAX_LNC002404)
Source: RNAcentral
UCACUCACUCACCUUCCCUCUCACUCACCAGCUGUGUCUCUCUCACUCAUCCUCCCUCUCACUCACCCGAUCUGCCUCUCUCAAUCACCCACUAGCAAGCUGUUUCUCUCAGGCUGUCACUCACCCACGAAACUUGUUGUCACGCCACGCCCAUCGUUGACCAGCCAUCAUCGCUGUCACGCCCCACCCAUCGCCGACCAGCCCAUCACCGAUCACGUUGCCGACCAGCCUUACUUGACGGUGUGCUUGACGAUUUUGGACCUUUUUCACCUACCUAUGUAAUUAAAUUUAGCAUGUUGAG